GUGAAAUUCCGUCGGAAUCUGGGAGGACCAUCUCCUAAGGCUAAAUACUCUCUAGUGACCGAUAGUGAACCAGUACCGUGAGGGAAAGGUGAAAAGCACCCCGGAAGGGGAGUGAAAUAGAACCUGAAACCGUGUGCUUACAAGUAGUCAGAGCCCGUUAAUGGGUGAUGGCGUGCCUUUUGUAGAAUGAACCGGCGAGUUACGAUUUGAUGCAAGGUUAAGCAGUAAAUGUGGAGCCGUAGCGAAAGCGAGUCUGAAUAGGGCGUUUAGUAUUUGGUCGUAGACCCGAAACCAGGUGAUCUACCCUUGGUCAGGUUGAAGUUCAGGUAACACUGAAUGGAGGACCGAACCGACUUACGUUGAAAAGUGAGCGGAUGAACUGAGGGUAGCGGAGAAAUUCCAAUCGAACCUGGAGAUAGCUGGUUCUCUCCGAAAUAGCUUUAGGGCUAGCCUCAAGUGAUGAUUAUUGGAGGUAGAGCACUGUUUGGACGAGGGGCCCCUCUCGGGUUACCGAAUUCAGACAAACUCCGAAUGCCAAUUAAUUUAACUUGGGAGUCAGAACAUGGGUGAUAAGGUCCGUGUUCGAAAGGGAAACAGCCCAGACCACCAGCUAAGGUCCCAAAAUAUAUGUUAAGUGGAAAAGGAUGUGGCGUUGCCCAGACAACUAGGAUGUUGGCUUAGAAGCAGCCAUCAUUUAAAGAGUGCGUAAUAGCUCACUAGUCGAGUGACACUGCGCCGAAAAUGUACCGGGGCUAAACAUAUUACCGAAGCUGUGGAUUGUCCUUUGGACAAUGGUA
Molecule: ribosomal RNA, 797 nt
Filed under: Staphylococcus aureus
Lineage: Bacteria; Bacillati; Bacillota; Bacilli; Caryophanales; Staphylococcaceae
Description: partial 23S ribosomal RNA
Rfam family: Bacterial large subunit ribosomal RNA
Source: RNAcentral